This is a long non-coding RNA of Drosophila yakuba, 3775 nucleotides long. RefSeq lists it as uncharacterized. Lineage: Eukaryota; Metazoa; Arthropoda; Insecta; Diptera; Drosophilidae. The transcript has 2 exons. The record is from RefSeq and is a predicted model, not a curated record.
AGCUGUGCAGAGAGAAAAAUACAUUGUAGGUUUGUAAUGUCAGUAAGUAAACUUUAUCAAUUGUACUAAAAUCAUAUACGACAGAAGCUGGCUUUCUUAUUUAGUUACUUCCUACUUUAAUGUGUAAAUACAAGUGAUUUUUCUACGUGUACAACCAAACGAGAUGGAAAGGAAAUUCGCAUGGUUAAUCGGCACGUUCGACAUUUGCGCACGUAGUUUGCCAAGUGCAUCGGCAAUGGGAACAGUUCAAUUGGCAUCGAAUCGACAUGGAUGUUGAAUGUCGACCUGACAGCGCCCUCCGUUCGAAUCCGAAUCGGAAUCGGAAUCGUAGUCACAGGCAGAUUCAGAGUCAGAGUCGGAGUCGAAUACGGAGUCAGAUGGCCCCGGUUACCCAGUUUUACGGCCCACACAUAAAACACACAUUACUUAAGCGUAAGCCCCGACGACGUCGCUCAGUCACAUCGCACUAAUUUGGUACAACUACUUUUUUUUUGUUUUUGUUUUUUACCCCCACCGAUUUCAGUUCAAUUCGAUUCGAUUCGAUUCGAGUCGUUUCCUUUCCGCUCGCUCACUCACAUGUGGCAGCCAGCCGGGCAGGGAGCUCAACUCUCAGGCUGUCAUUGAGACAUGGGAUGUAUAUCUAUCUGUCUGUCCGUCCAAGUCCAUCGGUCUCUUCUGUUCUCCGCCAGGCUGUUUGACGCUGAAGCGGCCCACACCUAGGCCAAAAGAACAUUGCUCAAUUAAACUGGUUUCGGUGCCACUGUGCGCUGCGUGAAACGUGAAUCGUGAAUGGUGGCGAAUCGACCACAAAUGCUUGGACAAAUAAACAAAACAAACGUUUCUGUCGCGGACUCCGUCGGCGGAUUAAUUGAUUAUUUGUCUGGGAAGACAGCGGACAAGAUGGUCUUGAAGAAGAUGGUCAAGAGGAAGAGGAGGCGGAUAUGAAUUCGGUCGAAACGGAAAUGUGGCCAGCAUAAACUGGCCCACCCAACGACAGUGGCAAAGUUAGUCAUUCGCCUCCAUUUGCAUGCGCUGCCAUUUCAGCCGGUUAAAGUUCAAGCAAUUAAGCCAAGCGACAGUUGACCAACUCGCCACUGCCAGAACAUUUCCUGCGGCAAUUAACCAAAAUAAAAAAAAAAAACAAAAUGCAAGAAAAGAGGCAACAAAAAACGGCGCAACUUGACAGGUUUUUGCACUGACAAUGACGACAAAAACAGAGAAACAGAGAAAACUGAGACCCAGCCCGCUGCAACUUACAUACAACUCAUUUAGUGUCAUUACGGGAGGAAGACGGGUAGAUGGGUAGAUGGAAAGACGGCUAUAUGGUAGAUGGUUAUAUGGCAACGACACUGUGGCUUUUAUGGCCAAGAGGGCGGCGGGACGCGGCGGCAGAAAAGCCACCCCGCUGGCACGAAGAAAAACACACACACAAUAUACUCGUACAGAGGGUAAUUGUCACACAUAUGCAGGCCAGGCCAGGCCAGGCCAGGAUGGCCAACAAAGAAAUCCUUGAAGUGUGACAGUAGGAAGCAAAGAAGCAGGCAGCAAACUAAAAGAAGGAAAGACUACGAAACACACACUCGACUGAGUGCAGUAAGUGCAAAGUAAAUGAAAGAUGAGCAGCAGGCCGAAAGGCCCAACCGGUUUAGCAUUUCAUUCAUGGGUUUCCAAACCAACUAGCCAGUCAGCCAGUCAGCCAGCCAUCCAGUCAUCCGUCGUUCUGGCCAGUGGUUAGUGGCCAAAUCGCCGGGAAGUUUGGGUGCCCAGGGGCAGCUGUAAUUGUCAACUGGUCCCACAAAUUGUACGCAAACUAAACUAACUGCUUAACCGCAAAGCGUACGUCCAUACUCGAUGAUGAAGAUGGUGAUGAUGAUGUCGAUAUGAGGGUUCCAAGGAGCACUUCCCCUACGGAUUUGCCUAUGUGCCUGCGGCUGUGCCUAUGCCAAAGUCGAUUCCUGGCCGCAAGCUAAGUGAGUAUGCUGGCCUGCAUUGGCCUCAAAAGCCUGCUAAUAGUUUUCGAGCAGGACGCAGGACCCAGAGAUGCCUGAAUUACUACUAAGGCUUUUGAGCUGCAGUUGGCUUUCAUUGGCCGCACUUCAUUUUCCCUUUCGCAGGACUCUGCCGUGUGACUGAGUUACUGUGCGAAAUGCAAGAGUUGGGCAUUCGCUUUAAAAAAAGAAAAGGAUUUAUACUAGUUGGCACAUUUCGAAACAUUUCCAUACUUCCAAAGUGUGUUUCGCGCAUCUCUAUCGUGAGUUGUUACGUGUGGCAAAGCCAAGCGAAGCGCAACGCCGGAUGUCGCACUAAUGGCAAACGCAACGCAACGCAAUCGCAACUCGAAGGUCCCGGCCCGUUUUAGCCCACUGCCAUUCGUGUUGGCCAUCGACUUGGGCAUCGGGCCUAGAUGGCCUGCUGGCUGCUUUGUAAGUUAAACUAUCUACAAGUCAUUAACUCAUACAAAGCCGGCAACUGUCGCAGAGGGUGAGAUGGUGAUGGUGAUGUUUGAGAGGCUGUGAGGCCUGGGUACACAAUCCAGAAUCGAGGGCCCAGUUGGCCAUGGUCCGGAGUUAAGUGAAGUGGCCUGGACCAACGCACAUUUGGCCCUUUGUUUUUCCUCUUUCGCUCCUUUUUUCCUGCGUGUGUGUGUUUGUUUUUUCAUGCUCACUCGCUUUCCUUAUCGAGACCAGUUUCCAGUUUAUUCGCUCACGCUGCCAGUUUCUGGUAACUCCAGCGCGUUAAUGGAAAAUAUUGUGGCAUAUCACAGGAAAUCCGGUGAGGUUUUUUCUCGUUCGUUUGCUGUUGCUUUUGGCCUUCUCCCGCCAGUGGUUGUUGUUCAUGUUGUUCUUCUUGUUGUUGUUGUCGUGUUGCUGGUGGCGGUAUGGUUGUGUGUGUGCACACUCCUUUUAGCCGGCAGGACACUUAGCCGGCAUCUACUCGCUUUGACAAAAUUAACGGGCACAUAAAUCUCCACUCUGGGUUUUGCGGCUUUGCGUUAUAAAUUUAAUUAAAUUUUUUGUUUGCGUUUUGUGUACUUUAUCUGCGCCUGUUAACCAACUUUUUUUCUCCUUUCGGUGGUUUUGCUAACUGCUCUCGGCAAGUGAACAAAUGUCUUUUAUUAUAUUGAUUAAAGCGGCUUUGGUGUGUCAAAUUUGUUGUCAGCCAUGUUAAGCGCGAGGCAAAGUGUUUCAAAUUGUUUUAAAUGGCAAGGGAAAGGAUUUCGGUACGGCCAUAACAAUUAUUUUCCACAUGUGUUCUAUAUGCGCUCUGAGCUGAGUUAGGAAGGCAAAGCGACUUACAUACUUGGCUAAAUGUGAGCCUAUCCGAUUUUCAGACGACACUUAAGCGGUUUUUAGCCACUCUGACGUCGCUGGGAUUUCUGUCUGUCCUCAUGGUGAUAUAAGCCAUAAGAUGCUUGGAGAGAGAGAGAGUGUUUUAAUGAAAUUGUGAUGAAGAGUGGAAUUCUUUUUCAGAAUUGGGAGAACUUCCAAAAAUUUAGGAUGAAUUUUGUCGUAAGAUCUUAAUCUCAAAACGAAAUACUCUUCUCGCUGCCUUCAAUGGCAAGCCAGUUACUAUCUCCAUCUGACUGAAACCCCAAAUGUCGGUGGCUUUGGAUGCUGCGCUUAUGGCCAAGUUUAUUGCUGACCCAGAACCGCCUUAAUCAUCGCCGGCAACCCGCAUACCCUCACUCGAGAGUGUCAACCGACGACCAGGCAUUUAAUGUGCGCCCUGGGCACGCUUAAUAAAUUCACAAUAAAACGCAUUUGAAUCACGCGAA